RNAcentral lists this long non-coding RNA (1932 nucleotides) under Sus scrofa (pig). Its description in RNAcentral is "lncRNA (ENSSSCG00005000437.1)". Lineage: Eukaryota; Metazoa; Chordata; Mammalia; Artiodactyla; Suidae. The record is from RNAcentral.
GCGGUUGCCAUGGAGAGGUAGUGGGGGAGGACUCCCUGGACCACAGCCUGUGCCAGCAGUUCCCUCCCAAGCUGCUCCGGCUUGUGACGUUGGGGCAGGGCGCUCAGGUGUGCCAGGCGGCACAGAUAACGGGGCUGGCUGACCUGUCAUGGCUGGUAACGUGACUGUGCACAGACCCCUGGGGCUGACAGACAUGUUUGUGGAAGUGCCUGUGGAUUCUCUGUGUGCAGUGCAAGGAUUGUAAUGUUGUGUGUCUUCCCACCCUGCCUGAUUGCUCACCCUCCAGCUUGGAUGAAAAGAGUUUAAACAUCUGAAAGCAAAUGUACGCCCUUGUUAAAAUAAGAAACUGACUAACUUCAGUCGGCAUGUUUGCAUAUAGAUAGAUGACAUCACAGCAAGUCACAUAAAUGCUGAUGGGACGCACACACUCAGAAAAAUCUAACAUGAUAAAAUUGAAGAAGCACAAAAAGAACUUAAUGGGGCAGAAGUGUCAAAAAAAGGUAAAUUAAAAAUCAACCCCAAUAUAUACUUUAUUCUUGCAGGAAUUCCUAUAUAAAUGCCUUAUAAUUGCAGCUAUACUAAAUCAAUCAAUGUAAGCAUAUCACAAAAUUAAAAAUCACCUUAAAUUGAUUGAUACUUAAAAGUACAUGUACUUUACCUUAUGAAAUGUUUUAACUGCAUAGCUAUAACUGUUUCCCACAUAUUAAUAUUUUUUUUUGGUGAGAGUAUGAAAGAUUGUUGCAUCCCUUCUGAAAGCCCUGUUUGUGAAACUGUCCUGCAGCAGUAAAGGUAGCCCCAGGAUGGAGCCUGGGGGUCAUGUUCACAUGUGUGUGUGCUCAUAUGUGUUCGCGUGAUACAGUAUUUUUUUGAAAUGACAAAAACCUAAGACAACUAAAAAUAACCCCUGUGCUAGUCAGUGCAGGAAUAAUUGAAUAAAUUGUAGGACAUUCAUAUUUGGAGAUGUUAUGUAGCUUUUUAAAAUGUUAAUUAUUUCUGUGGACUGUGAUGAUUUGUUGCUAAAUGGGAAAAUGAAAUUGCAAUGUAGCAUGUAAAAUACACCACUUUUUUCAAUCAAAAGCAUAUGCAUGUGCACACUGCUUAUGUAGGAUUGGACAAAGUUUGAACAGACUUAAUACACAAAUAAGUUUGCAUUGGUGAGAGAAGGCGCAAAGGAAGAUGAUUAACUUUCAUUUAUCUGGAUUUGUAUUCUUUCACUAGUUAUAAUGCAUAAAUGUAUAAAAACGUCUAAACCAAAAAUCGGUUUUCAUCAUGGAAAGCAUACAUACUAUUUUCCCAGGUAGUACGAAAAAAUGCAGCAGAUGAGGAACAGCUCGUGGGAGGGAAGGAAGACGUAAGGUGGAAAGAAUGCCAGCGGUCUCUGUCAAUGGGGAGAAUUGAUUACAAGGCUAGAGGCUUCUCUUUUUGGCUUUGAGGUUUCAUGACUUAUUAUUUCUUUGUCCUUGCUGUGUCUUCUAAUCACAGUGGGAUAUUUUGGCAGAGUAAUUUAACCACAUAAGAUUCCAGUGAAGAGCCUCCCCCCGACGCCCCUCUCCAAAUCUAGUUAGGUUGCUCGCGAGGUAUCUUUAGUGGAAAUAAUUGCUGGUUGUCCAGGUUCUCCAUCCCUUGGGCCAGCCUGUGAGGCCUCCAGAGUCAUUCAGGGCUGAGCUGAGCAGUUAGGCUGUGAUGUGCUGACACUUUAAAGUGUCUUCUGGAGUUCCCGUCGUGGCUCAGUGGAAACGAAAUCUGACUAGCAUGCAUGAGGACUCAGGUUCGAUCCCUGGCCUCACUCAGUGGGUUAAGGAUCAGGCAUUGCCAUGAGCUGUGGUGUAGGUUGCAGAAGCGACUUGGAUCUGGCGUUGCUGUGGCUGUGGUGUAGGCCGGCAGCUACAGCUCUGAUUCGACCCCUAGCCUGGGAACCUCCAUAUGCUGUGG